CCCUGGUCGACGAAUCCAGACACUGGGGUGAUUCAAGAUUUCUUCACGAAUGCUCUGGGGUCACUGAUGUGUGAUGCCAAUGGUUUUUCAGAACUCUUGUACAAAAUCAUCACGCGCAUCCGUGUCCGUUCAAUUGUAUCAGAAGGUGCAACAAUGGUGACAGGAGGCCUCGGAGGCCUCGGUCAGCUGGUAGCUGCCGCAGAUGCAAGUUCUGGUACCACACACAUCACUUUGCUUGGACGAUCUGGUAAGACGCAUAUCAUGGAUCACAUGCUGGUCGUGAGUGCUACGUGUGUAGUUAUGACGCGCGGGGAUGUUUCCACUGCCGAAGAAGUGGUAUCAUCCGCUUGUGCUUCAAUAGCGCCGGUGCGGUGCAUGCUUCAUGCCAGCGGCCUCCUUCGUGACGCCAUGAUCCAUAACCAAAGUGUGGGUGCCGUAGCUGCGGUAAUGGCUCCAAAGUGCGCUGGAAUUGUGCAGUUCGAUUCUGAGACCUUAGCCCGCGACAUGCGGAUGACCGUGGUGUUUUCCUCGGUCGCCUCACUUCUCGGCUCUGGUGGCCAGGCCAACUAUUGUGCUGCAAAUGGAUGGCUCGAUGCUCAUGCGCGCGUUGCAACUAUGCAAGGCCGCAACGAAACCAGUAUACAAUGGGGAGCAUGGAGCGGUGGUCGAGGCAUGGCCGCGAUUGACAAUAAUACCGUUCACCGCAUGGAGCGUCUUGGAGUCGGCGUCAUCACGCCCGAGCAGGGUCUAAGCACGUUGCGUGCCAUCAAAAACUCCGGCGGGCAUCCUGUAGUGUCUGCAAAUCCGUUCACAUGGGAUCGGUUUUUGCGCACCAUGGAUCCCAUUCCACCGUUCUUCGGCGCGUUUGCACACCUUGCACCGCGUGAGCUAGUGGCAGAUUAUGUUGCUGCUGACAUCAAAAUUAGGCGCCUUGACGUUGACAACACCAUGGAGGCUUCUGUGGUCGAGGCAAAAGUUACCGACUGCGUGCGAGAUAUUUUGGGCACCAGUGUUGCUGUCAAUGAGCCCCUCACUGACGCAGGCCUCGAUUCGCUUGGGGCCGUUGAGCUACGAGAUGCCAUAAAUGCAUCUCUUGGCGUUCAACUUCCGAGCACCGUGGUGUUUGAUUAUCCAUCUGUCGGUGCCAUGUCUGGCUACAUCACGUCGAAAAUGCAUCCGGGCGUUGAUGAUGCAGAGGACUGUGUCAUUGAUAAACAUAAAAUCGCCAGCGGUGUACAACGAGCGAUCAUCGGUGUUCUCGGCACGUCCAGCCGGACGGCAUACGAUACGCUCUGCACUCGUAACGCAGUGGACACCAUCGCGUGCGUACCACUCGCACGAUGGUGCCUCGACGUACCUGGUGAUACAACGAAUUUGGGGGCACGUUUUGGCAGCUUUGUCAGCAGUGUGGACCAGUUCGACUUCGAUCUUUUCAACGUGUCCUUCACCGAGGGUGUGUUGCUGGAUCCUCAACAACGCAUGCUCUUAGAAGCAACGUGGGAGGCCACGACUGACGCAUGCCGCGCCAAGGCGCCUGUACAGUCGGGUGUUACUGUUGGUAUCUCUGGCAGUGAAUAUGGCAGAAUGGCCGACAACGUCAGUGCGUAUACCGCGACUGGUGGCGCUCUCAGCGUCGCUUGCGGGCGCAUUUCGUACACGUUCGGCAUGCAAGGCAUAUGCAUGUCCGUUGACACGGCGUGCUCGUCGUCGCUAGUGGGCUCACAUAUCGCAAUCACAAGUAUUGUCGUAGGCGAGUCUGAUUCCGUUGCCGCGGGUGGUGUGAACGUAACGCUCAAUCCGAUGACGAGUGAGAUGUUCAGCAAAGCCGGCAUGUUGUCAAGAGACGGCCGCUGCAAGACCCUCGACUCGAGCGCGGAUGGCUACGUGCGUGGCGAGGCGUGCGUGGUAUUCGAGAUUUGCUCUCUGACGAUCAUGAAGACGUCAUUGGAACUUCAUUCAAGCACCGUGGUCGCGUCGGCAGUGAACCAAGAUGGCCGCUCAAGCUCCCUCACCGCCCCUAACGGACCCUCGCAACAGCGUGUUAUUCGCAGCUGUCUAGGGUCUGCUAAAACGGAUCCAGGUGCGGUCGACGGUCUCGAGAUGCACGGAACCGGCACGCCACUUGGCGAUCCAAUCGAAGUGGGCGCUGCCCACGCAGUGCUCGUGGAACACACACACGAUUCGCGGCUCACGGCGCUUGUUCUUUCGGCCAUGAAGUCUUGCAUGGGCCACACCGAGCCCGCUGCAGGUGCAGUCGGCCUUGCAAACGCCGUGAUCGGUGUUGGGUGCAGCCUCGUACGACCCAUCGUCCAUCUGACUGGCAUCAACCCACAUCUUUACAACAUAGCGCACAACUCUGGAUGCGGUUUGACAAAGGCCAUGGCACUUCCAAGACAACAAGUUGCGACCAUCGUUGCCGCGCAUGACUGGCCCCUGCACCGUGGGGUCAGCUCGUUUGCGUUCCAAGGUACGAAUGCGCAUGUGCUGAUUGCGGCACCUGUCUCAUCGAGUGCGGGAGUCGCGCAUCGUGGCCGAUCCUCGACAUGGCAUCGCAUGCGACUUUGGAUUAUGUUGGUGCGACAUCCGAUGCUUCAAAGUGCUACUGUCGACCUAUUUUCAUCUUCUGUACACUACGAAGCAUGCAUCGCAUGCAACCGACAGGUCUACUUGUGGGAUCACAGGGUCUUAGAUAAAGGACUAUUUCCAGCUUCUGCAUUCCUCGAGGUUGGCUUAUCCGCGGUAUGGCUCCUUGCGGACGCGGCGACUGCAUUGUGCGACGCCGUGAUAACAGCUCCGAUGGUCCUUCAGAAUGGCAUCGCGCCGUCUACCGUGGUGUGCUCUAUCAACAUGCUAGCAUGCGACGUUCGACUUCGCUCCGCCUCAAAUGAGCGACCCCACUUCACAUCCACUUGGAGUUCGAUGCACGAGCAACGCACUCAAUUUGUCCACACCGUGACACGUGCGUUAGCUCUUUGUCACAGAAGGACACGUGGGGCACCCGCAUUUUCAUCGCUUGGUGUUAUUUCACACGGUUCCAGCAUUCCGGGGGACGACUGUUGCAGCAGCGAGAGCUCGGGUAUUGUUGUCCUUCCUGCCGUUCUCGAUGCAAACUUCCAGCUCGCUUGCGCCUCUGAAAGUGAUUCCGACUCUUCGAAAUUGCGCAUUCCUGCGGGUGUCGGUGCCUUUUGGGUGGCGAAUACAUCUUCAGCGCGUGCUGUUUGGGCCAAGGUCACGUCCCGACCCGCCGACCUUUCCGAUCACUAUAUGUAUGCAGAAAGUAGUUGCACUACCAGUCUCAUUGGUCUCGAGGUCAAGCCAGCGCGGGCAUCGAGAGUUGAGCGCGUAAAAUCUACCAUUGCAACUUCAAGACUCACGCAUGGUAUGAUGUACGAGGUUGCAUGGCUCACGCGAGCUUCGAGUGAUGGUCCGGAGAAGGACGCGUAUUCAUAUAAUGCCAUCUCGCUUUCAGCAUCACGGCAUCAGCCUUGUCGAAAUGCACUGAAUAGUAUUCAAGCUGCGCAACUUGCAGCCGUAUCAAAGAUAUCGAAAAUGGCAGUACAAACAGCAGGGUCUGUAAGUAGGGCGACCACGCGUACCAGUGGGGCGGAAGUGUGGGCCGUCAUGCGUUGUGCGGCGCCAGAACUGCAGGCGAGUACUGCGAUCCUAGGGUGUGACCGCGAUCCUGCGGGUGUGAGCAUUACGUUGCCUGUGCAAGCGCGCACACACGGCGCUCAAGGUAUUACGAUGCGCGGUGGAUCCAUCUCAACUCCUGUGUUGAUUCCCUGGUCGACGAAUCCAGACACUGGGGUGAUUCAAGAUUUCUUCACGAAUGCUCUGGGGUCACUGAUGUGUGAUGCCAAUGGUUUUUCAGAACUCUUGUACAAAAUCAUCACGCGCAUCCGUGUCCGUUCAAUUGUAUCAGAAGGUGCAACAAUGGUGACAGGAGGCCUCGGAGGCCUCGGUCAGCUGGUAGCUGCCGCAGAUGCAAGUUCUGGUACCACACACAUCACUUUGCUUGGACGAUCUGGUAAGACGCAUAUCAUGGAUCACAUGCUGGUCGUGAGUGCUACGUGUGUAGUUAUGACGCGCGGGGAUGUUUCCACUGCCGAAGAAGUGGUAUCAUCCGCUUGUGCUUCAAUAGCGCCGGUGCGGUGCAUGCUUCAUGCCAGCGGCCUCCUUCGUGACGCCAUGAUCCAUAACCAAAGUGUGGGUGCCGUAGCUGCGGUAAUGGCUCCAAAGUGCGCUGGAAUUGUGCAGUUCGAUUCUGAGACCUUAGCCCGCGACAUGCGGAUGACCGUGGUGUUUUCCUCGGUCGCCUCACUUCUCGGCUCUGGUGGCCAGGCCAACUAUUGUGCUGCAAAUGANNN
Molecule: long non-coding RNA, 4367 nt
Filed under: Micromonas pusilla
Lineage: Eukaryota; Viridiplantae; Chlorophyta; Mamiellophyceae; Mamiellales; Mamiellaceae
Description: long non-coding RNA (MPUS_LNC000023)
Source: RNAcentral